UGGGGAAUAUUGCACAAUGGGCGCAAGCCUGAUGCAGCCAUGCCGCGUGUAUGAAGAAGGCCUUCGGGUUGUAAAGUACUUUCAGCGGGGAGGAAGGGAGUAAAGUUAAUACCUUUGCUCAUUGACGUUACCCGCAGAAGAAGCACCGGCUAACUCCGUGCCAGCAGCCGCGGUAAUACGGAGGGUGCAAGCGUUAAUCGGAAUUACUGGGUGUAAAGCGCACGCAGGCGGUCUGUCAAGUCGGAUGUGAAAUCCCCGGGCUCAACCUGGGAACUGCAUUCGAAACUGGCAGGCUAGAGUCUUGUAGAGGGGGGUAGAAUUCCAGGUGUAGCGGUGAAAUGCGUAGAGAUCUGGAGGAAUACCGGUGGCGAAGGCGGCCCCCUGGACAAAGACUGACGCUCAGGUGCGAAAGCGUGGGGAGCAAACAGG
This 429-nucleotide ribosomal RNA is filed under the name Chloroflexota bacterium. Its description in RNAcentral is "Chloroflexi bacterium partial 16S ribosomal RNA". It matches the Rfam family "Bacterial small subunit ribosomal RNA", at positions 355 to 776 of the family's 1533-position model. Lineage: Bacteria; Bacillati; Chloroflexota. The record is from RNAcentral.